This 723-nucleotide ribosomal RNA is filed under the name Salmonella enterica. RNAcentral's name for it is "partial 23S ribosomal RNA". It matches the Rfam family "Bacterial large subunit ribosomal RNA", at positions 776 to 1503 of the family's 2925-position model. The record is from RNAcentral. Lineage: Bacteria; Pseudomonadati; Pseudomonadota; Gammaproteobacteria; Enterobacterales; Enterobacteriaceae.
CCGACUAAUGUUGAAAAAUUAGCGGAUGACCUGUGGCUGGGGGUGAAAGGCCAAUCAAACCGGGAGAUAGCUGGUUCUCCCCGAAAGCUAUUUAGGUAGCGCCUCGUGAAUUCAUCUCCGGGGGUAGAGCACUGUUUCGGCUAGGGGGCCAUCCCGGCUUACCAACCCGAUGCAAACUGCGAAUACCGGAGAAUGUUAUCACGGGAGACACACGGCGGGUGCUAACGUCCGUCGUGAAGAGGGAAACAACCCAGACCGCCAGCUAAGGUCCCAAAGUCAUGGUUAAGUGGGAAACGAUGUGGGAAGGCCCAGACAGCCAGGAUGUUGGCUUAGAAGCAGCCAUCAUUUAAAGAAAGCGUAAUAGCUCACUGGUCGAGUCGGCCUGCGCGGAAGAUGUAACGGGGCUAAACCAUGCACCGAAGCUGCGGCAGCGACGCUGAUGCGUUGUUGGGUAGGGGAGCGUUCUGUAAGCCUGUGAAGGUGGCCUGUGAGGGUUGCUGGAGGUAUCAGAAGUGCGAAUGCUGACAUAAGUAACGAUAAAGCGGGUGAAAAGCCCGCUCGCCGGAAGACCAAGGGUUCCUGUCCAACGUUAAUCGGGGCAGGGUGAGUCGACCCCUAAGGCGAGGCCGAAAGGCGUAGUCGAUGGGAAACGGGUUAAUAUUCCCGUACUUGGUGUUACUGCGAAGGGGGGACGGAGAAGGCUAUGUUGGCCGGGCGACGGUU